Molecule: ribosomal RNA, 528 nt
Filed under: Salmonella enterica subsp. enterica serovar Typhimurium
Lineage: Bacteria; Pseudomonadati; Pseudomonadota; Gammaproteobacteria; Enterobacterales; Enterobacteriaceae
Description: bacterial SSU rRNA
Rfam family: Bacterial small subunit ribosomal RNA
Source: RNAcentral
UGCCUUCGGGAACUGUGAGACAGGUGCUGCAUGGCUGUCGUCAGCUCGUGUUGUGAAAUGUUGGGUUAAGUCCCGCAACGAGCGCAACCCUUAUCCUUUGUUGCCAGCGAUUAGGUCGGGAACUCAAAGGAGACUGCCAGUGAUAAACUGGAGGAAGGUGGGGAUGACGUCAAGUCAUCAUGGCCCUUACGACCAGGGCUACACACGUGCUACAAUGGCGCAUACAAAGAGAAGCGACCUCGCGAGAGCAAGCGGACCUCAUAAAGUGCGUCGUAGUCCGGAUUGGAGUCUGCAACUCGACUCCAUGAAGUCGGAAUCGCUAGUAAUCGUGGAUCAGAAUGCCACGGUGAAUACGUUCCCGGGCCUUGUACACACCGCCCGUCACACCAUGGGAGUGGGUUGCAAAAGAAGUAGGUAGCUUAACCUUCGGGAGGGCGCUUACCACUUUGUGAUUCAUGACUGGGGUGAAGUCGUAACAAGGUAACCGUAGGGGAACCUGCGGUUGGAUCACCUCCUUACCUUAAAGAA